Triticum dicoccoides is the source of this 3147-nucleotide RNA transcript. RefSeq lists it as uncharacterized. The transcript has 6 exons. Lineage: Eukaryota; Viridiplantae; Streptophyta; Magnoliopsida; Poales; Poaceae. The record is from RefSeq and is a predicted model, not a curated record.
CUCUCUCUUUCCCCCGUCUCCUCCCUCUCAAUCCUAGCCGCCACCACCCACCCUCUACUGCUCCACCACGCACCCACCUCCCCCCCUGGAUUAGGUGCAGGCCGGCCGGUGCGCGCAGGCGGCGGCGCUCCACUCGAGGGCAAAGGGAGGCAACGGCGGUGGUGGUCGCCGUGGACACCCAUCUCUCUCCCCCGCAGACGAACCCCGCCGCAGGAGGCCGCCAUGGAGGCCCGUCCCGAGCUCGCCUCGCCGCUCCUCCGGUGACCUUCGUUGCGCCUGGAUCCGGGCCGAUCCGACGAUUCCCCGACGCGCAGGCGGGCCGGCACGCGGCGCUAGGCGGAGGAGCCCUCCCAUGGCGCCGGCGGCUCUGGAGACGAGGGCUGCACAGAUGAAGAGGAGCAACAUCAGCUCGAGCUGCUGGAAUUGGCAACAUCAGCAAAGAUUUCAGCGGCAAGGAGUGCUUGCCGUAGUGGAAACGAAGCAAGAAUUAGAUGGAGCUCAGGAUUUUUCUACUACCUUGUUAAUAGCUUUGUGAGGGUGUAGGCCAAAAUGCUGGAGUUCGUGAUAUUCCUGCAACUAACAAGCCAUAUAUGCUCUGGAUCAGGCUGUGUGGCAGCUGUUUGACACGCGCAUCCACAUUCGUUUUCGUGACCUGGAAGCGAGGCUGCGCGCGUUCGAGCUACUUAAAAAAUAUGUGUACAGUGGGUGAUUAUACAGAUUCUGUUGUCAUGUUCCUUUGUUUAAAAUCUGGGAACCUGGAUCCAUUCAGGCCUAUCUAGGUGAAGCGCCGCACGAGUUAAGCAGAGGCGACUUUGAGGAUUUCACCCGACAGACUAAAGGGUUUUCAUAUGGGGAUAUCGCUGUGUGCGUAAGUAUCUCGCGUGCGGUCAUCAUGGGAUGAUGAUCUGGUUGUCAGCAAGUGGAUACCAUGCCGCUCCGAGGAACCAGGCGCUCUAAGAUGGACAAUGCAUGAGCUUGCGAUGGGAGGCUUUUCCUCACAGAUCGUCGCACCUGCAGUACUCAUGAUGGAUGUCCGGGACGUGAUCGCAAGGCACAAGCCAAGUGUUAGCAUGGAGGACCUGAGCAGUACGGAAGGUUCAAUGAGGAGUUUGGCAAGCAGGGCUGGUCAUGAAGAUACACAGAGAGAGUACUCCAUUGGUACUGAAGAAAUACUGCACGAAUAUGGUUGGUUGUUGUUCCUUGGAAGAAGUAGGAUUCGCGCGUCCAAACUCGAGAGGUGCCCGCUGCUGAUAUACCCGUAAACAAAUAAAUCCACCGGCGAGAAAUGCUUCAUAUGCUGCUUCUUUUUUUGUUCUGUCGAUUCAGACUUCCUGUAUCUUGAGUGGCUUUCACCAUUGGGCAAUUCAAGCGAUGGAAGGGGUGUAUGUGCUUUUGCAUAAAUGUAUAACCGUAUAAGUGCAAUAUAAAGGCUACUUAGAAGUAUAUACAGUAAGUUAUCUACUCCCUGCUUCAUGACCUGGAUAAAGAAUAUAUAAUUAGCUUUUGGCUUUAGGAACACUUCAUCAGUUAGUACCUCUGCGAAAGAUGAAUUAGCCAGAAAGAAGAUUCAAAUCCACUAAGUUAGAGGUCGAUUUAUCGCCUUGCCCAGUCCUUCUGUUUUUCUAUGUUGCAGAAUAGGAAUGCCAUAUAUGUUCAUUUAUUUCCUCUGCGCCAUUUUAAAUUCUACACCUUAUUUUUUAUUAUGAUGAAUCAUCAAUAUCAUACAUUUGUUACUCUUCCUGAUUAUACAUAUUCUUUUCGGGCAUAGAUUUAGAAUGAUUUUUUCAUGUUCUUGCAAAGCAGAUGUGUUAGAAAACUAUUGCUAUUUUACUACUUUCAAAUGCUACAACUGUCGAUACUAAAUUUCGAAGAUAUAUUCAGGAAACUAAACAAGAUGAUGAGGAAACUGUUGCUGCAGCUGUUGAAGAUUCAAAUAAUGUUUUGUGUGACCAAGCUAAACGCAAAAGGUAUAGACUCAUACUCUGUUACAUUUAACCAGUUUCAUAUAAGAUGUGUGUCAGUGUAUGUGCUACUGAACUUGGUGCGACAACUAUUGUUUGUACAUCGGAAAGAAUGCUUCUUCUUAUCCUUCACUAAUGCAUGCUAUUUGACCAGUCUUUCUUUUUUGAUCACUGAAGUGUGCAAGUUGAUUAACUAUCUAAUAAAAUGAACUUCUACUUUUAGGGUCCAGUGGGUGUUCUGUUUGACGUUCAUUAAUUCUCUGGUUUGUUUGCUGUAACAUGUACAAGCAAUGCUUACUGCUCCUCACUGAUCAUACAAGAUAAAUAGCCUUUUCUAUUUCUCACUGAUACGCACAAGCUAAUUAACCAUCGAAUAAAAUGAGCUGUGUUUUCAGAUUCGGUAGUUCUUCUGUUUGUUUAUGUUAUCCGCUGUUUGUUGUUGCAAACCGUCCUUGUUCUUUUUGUUCCAUCGUAUGCAUCUAGGUUAUUUGCACUGAAAAUUGAAGUACUCACAUGACUGUUACUUUUGCUAAUGAAUGCAUCUUAGAACUAAUACUGGUGCUAGCUCUGCAAAGAAAGCAAGGCGGUAGCUUUUCCAUGCCGUAGGUUGGGUGUGUACAUACGGUAUGGCCAUCACUACAUGAGUUCUAUUCUUCGUACAAUCACAAUAGAUCUGGUGUCAAAACAAAUUGAUUAUAGUCCAUCUUCAUCGGGGUAUUUUUGUGUGUUCCGCUUGCUUCUCAAGCUCGGUCUGCCACUAGGAGGUUGUGUUGCUGAAGGGAGCUUCUUCACUGUAUCGCAUCGCAGCAAUGGUCUGGCCAUCGGGUCUCAAGAUUGUACCUUGGCACACUUUUAGGCAUGCACCUGAUGUAUUUUGUGCAUGUUUGCAAAGCAAGACUUUGACACUCGAAGAACUAUGUCAAGCCACUGUCAAUACAAUCCCCUUAUUUAGGUCCUUGAACAAGUGGACUCUUAUGAGAUGUAAAUAUCAUCGUUGGCCCAGCGGGCGUUGACUCUACUUGAUAUUCAUCGCUGAGUACCUUAGUCACGUAAGCUAAAUGACCAAAGCUUUCUAUACGAUGGACCUCUGCCUAUGUAGCUUGCCUUAUAAAAGCAAUGUAAAUAAGCUAUCACGAACUAAUCUUAUACCUUUCCUAUAACGCUAUGUAUCAACUUCAUAUCUAAA